Molecule: long non-coding RNA, 367 nt
Organism: Vicia villosa (hairy vetch)
Lineage: Eukaryota; Viridiplantae; Streptophyta; Magnoliopsida; Fabales; Fabaceae
Exons: 3
Source: RefSeq, a predicted model, not a curated record
CAAAACAUUACUUUUGUUCUCUUCUCUAUUGUUUUCACCCACACGCCUGUUCCUUCUAACACUUCCUGGACGCAAGCUCAGGCCAUUAACCGAUAUCUCUGUACUCCAUUUUCUCUACACAACCUUUUCAUCUUCAUCUUUAACCAUGUUGCAGCUCCAACAUCCACAUGGAGUUUUGUCACCAAAGACACUUAAGGUUUUCUCUUUGCGGUACAUAAGAUUUUGGUAGAGUGAUUAUGGCAUAGUGAAGGUGUGAAACAAAGUGGAGGGAUAAUAAUUACACAAAUAUGAGAUGAUGAUUAUGAACUAUUGUUGAGAUAUUAUGUGUUGAAUGGUUGCUUACACACCAUGUUGUGGGAAAAAUCAA